CCUACGGGGGGCAGCAGUGGGGAAUAUUGCACAAUGGGGGAAACCCUGAUGCAGCGACGCCGCGUGAGCGAUGAAGUAUUUCGGUAUGUAAAGCUCUAUCAGCAGGGAAGAAACUGACGGUACCUGACUAAGAAGCACCGGCUAAAUACGUGCCAGCAGCCGCGGUAAUACGUAUGGUGCAAGCGUUAUCCGGAUUUACUGGGUGUAAAGGGAGCGUAGACGGACUUGCAAGUCUGAAGUGAAAGCCCGGGGCUCAACCCCGGGACUGCUUUGGAAACUGUAGGUCUAGAGUGCUGGAGAGGUAAGUGGAAUUCCUAGUGUAGCGGUGAAAUGCGUAGAUAUUAGGAGGAACACCAGUGGCGAAGGCGGCGUACUGGACAGUAACUGACGUUGAGGCUCGAAAGCGUGGGGAGCAAACAGGAUUAGAUACCCGGGUAGUC
This 440-nucleotide ribosomal RNA is filed under the name uncultured bacterium. Its description in RNAcentral is "bacterial SSU rRNA". It matches the Rfam family "Bacterial small subunit ribosomal RNA", at positions 338 to 795 of the family's 1533-position model. The record is from RNAcentral.